CCUACGGGAGGCAGCAGUGAGGAAUAUUGGUCAAUGGACGGAAGUCUGAACCAGCCAUGCCGCGUGCAGGAAGACGGCUCUAUGAGUUGUAAACUGCUUUUGUACAAGGGUAAACCGGAAUACGUGUAUUCAGCUGAAAGUACCGUACGAAUAAGGAUCGGCUAACUCCGUGCCAGCAGCCGCGGUAAUACGGAGGAUCCAAGCGUUAUCCGGAUUUAUUGGGUUUAAAGGGUGCGUAGGCGGAUUGAUAAGUUAGAGGUGAAAUGUCCGGGCUUAACUCGGGAACUGCCUCUAAUACUGUUGCUCUAGUGUGUAGAUGCGGUAGGCGGAAUGUAUGGUGUAGCGGUGAAAUGCUU
RNAcentral lists this ribosomal RNA (356 nucleotides) under uncultured bacterium. RNAcentral's name for it is "partial 16S ribosomal RNA". It matches the Rfam family "Bacterial small subunit ribosomal RNA", at positions 338 to 691 of the family's 1533-position model. The record is from RNAcentral.